UGGGGAAUAUUGCACAAUGGGCGCAAGCCUGAUGCAGCCAUGCCGCGUGUGUGAAGAAGGCCUUCGGGUUGUAAAGCACUUUCAGCGAGGAGGAAGGUGGUGAGCUUAAUACGCUCAUCAAUUGACGUUACUCGCAGAAGAAGCACCGGCUAACUCCGUGCCAGCAGCCGCGGUAAUACGGAGGGUGCAAGCGUUAAUCGGAAUUACUGGGCGUAAAGCGCACGCAGGCGGUUUGUUAAGUCAGAUGUGAAAUCCCCCGGGGCUCAACCUGGGAACUGCAUUUGAAACUGGCAAGCUAGAGUCUCGUAGAGGGGGGUAGAAUUCCAGGUGUAGCGGUGAAAUGCGUAGAGAUCUGGAGGAAUACCGGUGGCGAAGGCGGCCCCCUGGACGAAGACUGACGCUCAGGUGCGAAAGCGUGGGGAGCAAACAGAUUAGAUACCCUGGUAGUCCACGCUGUAAACGAUGUCGAUUUUGGAGGUUGUGCCCCUUGAGGCGUGGNUUCCGGAGCUAACG
RNAcentral lists this ribosomal RNA (513 nucleotides) under uncultured bacterium. Its description in RNAcentral is "partial 16S ribosomal RNA". It matches the Rfam family "Bacterial small subunit ribosomal RNA", at positions 355 to 857 of the family's 1533-position model. The record is from RNAcentral.